CUCGGGUGAAAUCUGAAAGGUGGUCGACCAUCGUAGAAAUUUGGAUGGAGCCUGAUUACCGUAGAAGUCCUACUGUUGGAGAAGCUCGAACAUUGACGAAGUCUGAAAGAAGUUUGGAGUAAAGUCGUUCGUGGCCGGAAGAAGUCUGGAAGAGAUUCGGAGAAUAGUCGAUCACUGUAGAGAAUCGGCUGAUAGUGAAGUUCAGAGAGCAUUUGGGACAGUCUGGUAGAUGAAUGGAGGAGCUCAUUAUUGAAGGAGUUCGGAUGGCAUUGUAGAAGCUCAGACACCGGAGGAGUUCGGAGAGAGACACCGCAUAAGGUCGGAAGCCAAAAGAACCCAGAGAGGGUCGGCCUUUUACGAACUUCGGCUGGAGGUAUUUUAUACCCAACACCAGUCCCCCUACUUUCGAGUUUAGAUUCUGAAUGAAGGAAGUA
This 434-nucleotide long non-coding RNA is filed under the name Elaeis guineensis (African oil palm). RNAcentral's name for it is "long non-coding RNA (EGUI_LNC039984)". The record is from RNAcentral. Lineage: Eukaryota; Viridiplantae; Streptophyta; Magnoliopsida; Arecales; Arecaceae.